UUGAAUCAGUACUCAUCCUUGGGAGGAGCCAUUGCUGAUGCUGUUAGCUGGCUAUGAUCUGGCCAUGCCUMCCGGAUAUCCCAUCAUAUUCCUUCUGGACGUACCUCUGGGAUCCAGGAGACACUGGUUCUGAUGCUGCUUCUGCUGCUCCAAAGUUCACCUUUUACUCUCCACAAGGGUUUUGCCUCCUGCUGGUCGGGGUUGUCUCAUCUUGGUUCCCCCCUGGUUGCCACCGUGGAGGGAGCUGGCUGACCCGGCUGGAUCCACGCACACUUGGGGGCUGUGAAGCUUGCUGGGUGCCCAGGCUCAGAAAACGCAUCAACGAGUUAUAGCAGCAGCACCAAGUGAAGCAGAAAGCGAGACGGGUCAUCACUCACGCCGCGUCCUCUGUGGGAUGGUUCCUCUGRUCCCUCCUCCGUCCAAAUCCCCUCGCUCCUGGAUCAGCUAACGCCACCCCCUCCUUUCCUUCUCUGUGCUCCUCCCUUGUCUUCUGGACUAAAGUCACCUCAUGUGUUUUCUAUUGGAAAUGCCUGCUUUCUUUCCUUGAGGCCCGAGGAAACUCCUUGGGUCCUUCUGGUCACCCUGCCACCUAGCACAGGUCCUGGCCCGAGGGAGAC
This is a long non-coding RNA of Urocitellus parryii (Arctic ground squirrel), 617 nucleotides long. RefSeq lists it as uncharacterized. NCBI's taxonomy places the organism in Eukaryota, Metazoa, Chordata, Mammalia, Rodentia, Sciuridae. The record is from RefSeq and is a predicted model, not a curated record.